CUGUCCACCAUGCGAUGGACAGUCUCUAUUUGGCCAGGACCUGUGCCGUGCUGCCUUGCCUUAGAGUCAGCCGACUUUGGACUGAAAUCUCUACAAACUGAAGAAAACAGGAAAUGAAGCAAGGAACCGAGUCGCAGCAUUAACCCCUGGGAGCAGUAAAUAAGUGUCUUAUGAAAAUGAAGAUUAAUUAGUCCCUUGAACUUAUCACUCGCCAUGUAUCACGCUUCACUCGGUGUUUUACACUGGCUUGCUUCGAUUUUUACAGCAAAGUUAUGCAAGCCAUACACAGAUCCUCUUCGAUUUUCCUGAGUUGAUCAGUUUGAAGACGAUCAAAAGCAAUAACUCUUGGCGAAGAUUCAACUAAGAAAACAGGUUGUCAGAGCAUUCACCUAGACAGCUUAUGUCAUUUUGUUGCCAAAUGUUGGAGCCAUCAAAAACGCUGCCAAAUUUAGGAUAUUCAGCUUUAGACUUCUGGCCUGAAGACCAUGAACUCCGCGCCUCCGAAGAAUAAUGUUCCUCUGACUAGCAGGAGACCACUUUGCAAUCCACUUAGCUGAGGGUUAAGAGGAUUGUGAGAAAGCAAUCAUGAGAAAAGAGAAGCAGAUUCAUGGUGCAGCUCUGAUGCAGGAGGAAGAUCCAUUCUUCUAGGAAGACUUGAACUGGCCUGCAUCUCAUUCCAUGUCCACAAAGACUUUCUUCAUCAUUUCAUCUAGUAAUGAUACUGCACAGAGUGUCGCAUAGGCUUCUUUAAUGUCCUGAACAAGUAAGUGGUGAAGCCAUACAGAAAAGGCACAAAUUUGUACAGAAAGUACAAAUUUAUCAAAGGAAUAAUGAAAUGCUCUACAUAGUGAAAACAGGGAGGUGAAAAGGUUCAUGGCACCCCCAGGGAUAAGGGAAAGGGGUAUUGUACAUUCAGAAUUCCCUAGUUACUACUCUUUUAUGUAAAUAAGGCAUUGGGAAAGACACUCUUUCAAAAACUUUGCAUCAGGCUAUGUGUAAAUGCUAACAAAAACUCACUUGGCUUCCUGUCAUAUGUAAAUAAAGGAUCAGCAGUAGUGUUUUCUGAUUGGUUGCACUUGUAUGCAAAUGAGGAAUUGAAGAGAAAAAACUUCUGAUUGGCCCUGUGAACAACAGCAAGAUUGAAAUGAAAUAUUAAUGCAGCAAAGCUCUGAUUGGCUCAAAAUAGCACUUUUCUGAUUGGUUAUAGGUACAGUGAUAAUGGCAUUACUGUAUUGGAACUACCCCUCCCCCUUCUCUUGUUUCACUAUCAUCAAUUUUACACUUCCCAGCAUUCAUUCAUUACUCCUUACAAGCAUGCAAAGAACCCUAUCUUCUACCUCUGAAAACCACCAUUCUAGAGCCACCUUAAAAUGACAAGACAUGUGUUUAUUCCCUGUCCCACUGCAGCACCUGUCUUCUCUAUUGAUCAAAAAUUCCUAAGUUCUUAGUAGCAUUCUUCUGUUCACUUGUCCCAGGAAACUUUUGGAUAACAUAUUUCACCCUACAAAUCCCUCUACUUUACUUUCUUUACAACUUUUUAACUCCCCUGAGGCUACAAUCUUCUGGCCUUUCUAUUUCAAGUUCUCCUCACCCACUGUUUACUCUAUCUGUUGUUUAAGUCAGUUUCUCAGAAGACAGUUCCAGCCUUGUUUUUCAUCUGUCUCCCAUUCCUUCUCUCUCACCUUGCACGGUGAUUUAAAGUCUGAAUCAAGGCAGGGAAUGUGAUUUCUCUAAGGAUACUGAGCCUCGUGUGUUUACACAUACCAGUCUAACAGUA
Cavia porcellus (domestic guinea pig) is the source of this 1777-nucleotide long non-coding RNA. RefSeq lists it as uncharacterized. The record is from RefSeq and is a predicted model, not a curated record. Lineage: Eukaryota; Metazoa; Chordata; Mammalia; Rodentia; Caviidae. The transcript is spliced from 6 exons.